This 629-nucleotide long non-coding RNA is filed under the name Numida meleagris (helmeted guineafowl). RNAcentral describes it as "lncRNA (ENSNMEG00000022807.1)". Lineage: Eukaryota; Metazoa; Chordata; Aves; Galliformes; Numididae. The record is from RNAcentral.
UUGCUAGCAGGUGCUAGUAUGUGGACACAUCUAAUAUAUUAGGUUGUAGUGACCUUGUGAGGUAGGAUGGAAUGUGACAAGACUUGUCUACAGGCCAGGGCUGUGAGCUGUGGUCCUUGUGAACUGCUGCCGAUGGGAUAGCUCCACUUUUUCACUGCCCAGCGCAGCCCUACUGAAGAGUAUGGCUGAGGGAUGCUGCUGUGUAUGAAGUGUAAGCUAAGGGUAGGCAGUUCUGAAUAAUCCUGCCUGAUAACCUACUUACUCCCAGUGCCCAAGUACAUCCGAUGCUGCGACUUCUUGGACAAAACAAAAACUUUCUGCUGACUAAUGUCUCCACUUUGCCCCAACCUGCUGGAUGCUCUGGAAAGGAGUGAGUGAAGAGCAAAUGGCUGGCAUCAAGUUAUUUUUGAAGACAGAAGAAAUGAGAACUGUUACGAUUUCAGGGGCUUUAGGGGCAAGCCAAACUGGUUUGGGCUGCUGCAAAUGUUGCCUCAGCUUCUGCUCAGCUGUCAGAUUAAUGAUACCUACUCUAGCAAUGCCAACUACCAAACCCCAUGGCAUUUGGCAGUUAUGAACCAUACAGAUUUUGAUUAUAAAGACUCUUUAUCUUUUAAAUAAUAAUUUAAGAA